UAACAAGGGAUUCCCCUAGUAACGGCGAGUGAAGAGGGAAGAGCCCAAGAUUGAAAGCUGGCGUCUUUGGCGUCCGCAUUGUAAUCUCAAGAAGUGUUUUCCGCUUCGGACCAUGCCUAAGUCCCUUGGAAAAGGGCAUCAUAGAGGGUGAUAAUCCCGUACAUGGCAUGGAGCGCCCGAGGCUUUGUGAUACCCUUUCUACGAGUCGAGUUGUUUGGGAAUGCAGCUCAAAAUGGGUGGUAAAUGCCAUCUAAGGCUAAAUAUUGGGGAGAGACCGAUAGCGAACAAGUACAGUGAUGGAAAGAUGAAAAGAACUUUGAAAAGAGAGUUAAACAGUACGUGAAAUUGCCAAAAGGGAAGGGUAGGAGGUCAGAGAUGCGUUCUGGGAUUCAGCCUUGCUUUUGCUUGGUGUUUUUCCCAGAUUGCAGGCCAACGUCGGUUUUGGGCGCUGGAGAAGGGUGGAAGGAAUGUGGCACCCCUCGGGGUGUGUUAUAGCCUUCUACUGGAUGCAGUGACCGAGACCGAGGACAGCAGCGUACUCGCAAGAGCGGGCCUUCGGGCACCUUUACGCUUAGGGCGUUGGCAUAAUGGCCCUCUACCACCCGUCUUGAAACACGGACCAAGGAGUCUAUCAUGUAUGCGAGUCUUUGGGUGGCAAACCCAUAGGCGCAAUGAAAGUGAAUUCAGGUGGGAUCCGCAAGGUGCACCAUCGACCGAUCCUCACGUCUUUUUAAGUCGUGGAUUUGAGUAAGAGCAUACCUGUUGGGACCCGAAAGAUGGUGAACUAUGCCUGAAUAGGGUGAAGCCAGAGGAAACUCUGGUGGAG
This 826-nucleotide ribosomal RNA is filed under the name Ustilago sp. ML-2006a. Its description in RNAcentral is "LSU rRNA". It matches the Rfam family "Eukaryotic large subunit ribosomal RNA", at positions 66 to 872 of the family's 3401-position model. The record is from RNAcentral. Lineage: Eukaryota; Fungi; Basidiomycota; Ustilaginomycetes; Ustilaginales; Ustilaginaceae.